AAUGAACUAUGUCAUAAAUCGUGCGCCUUUUGGCUUUGGACUAAUAUCAUGCAUAGUUUGUACUAUAUAUAAGUAGGUUCAAAAGUGCUGCUUAGAAUUGUAUUUGUGGAGUACCU
Long non-coding RNA from Gavialis gangeticus (Gharial), 116 nucleotides. RefSeq lists it as uncharacterized. Lineage: Eukaryota; Metazoa; Chordata; Crocodylia; Gavialidae. The transcript has 3 exons. The record is from RefSeq and is a predicted model, not a curated record.